This 371-nucleotide long non-coding RNA is filed under the name Vigna radiata. RNAcentral's name for it is "long non-coding RNA (VRAD_LNC016758)". Lineage: Eukaryota; Viridiplantae; Streptophyta; Magnoliopsida; Fabales; Fabaceae. The record is from RNAcentral.
GGAUACCAAACUUUAAAGUGCGAUACUAUAGAACCAGCGUUCGGACACCGAUGCACCUUUAACCGUAGCCCCAAUGUCGGUUAAGGGUGUUUACGUGUACUAGUAAACUAACCUCAAUGUGUUUAGAAGCUCUUUGUCACCACCUUCCUCCUCCACCUUCCUCCUCCAAUAACCAAAGUACUGCCACCACGGAUUACAAUCACCACUAGAUCACCACUUUACACAACACAAGCUCUCAACUCUCAACUCAGCAAACAAUGAAAAAGUGAAAGUGAAGAACAUGCUAUUGUGAAGAAAGUGAAAAAAUGGGAAGGGGAUGCAUGUAGGGUUUAUACAACCAGAGGGGGUUUAGGGUUGCUGGUUAUUAGUUG